CAGCUUUAACCUCUUAAACAGUCACCGAGUUAGCGCACGGCUCAUCCAUUGAGCCAUUCCCCUAUGCCCGGAACAAUCUGGAUUGGUUCCGGGCUUUUUUUA
RNAcentral lists this small RNA (102 nucleotides) under Idiomarina xiamenensis 10-D-4. The record is from RNAcentral. Lineage: Bacteria; Pseudomonadati; Pseudomonadota; Gammaproteobacteria; Alteromonadales; Idiomarinaceae.